RNAcentral lists this ribosomal RNA (402 nucleotides) under uncultured Acidobacteriota bacterium. Its description in RNAcentral is "bacterial SSU rRNA". It matches the Rfam family "Bacterial small subunit ribosomal RNA", at positions 355 to 774 of the family's 1533-position model. Lineage: Bacteria; Pseudomonadati; Acidobacteriota. The record is from RNAcentral.
UCGGGAAUUUUGGGCAAUGGGCGAAAGCCUGACCCAGCAACGCCGCGUGAAGGAUGAAGUAUUUCGGUAUGUAAACUUCGAAAGAAUGGGAAGAAUAAAUGACGGUACCAUUUAUAAGGUCCGGCUAACUACGUGCCAGCAGCCGCGGUAAUACGUAGGGACCAAGCGUUGUUCGGAUUUACUGGGCGUAAAGGGCGCGUAGGCGGCUUAACAAGUCACUUGUGAAAUCUCUGGGCUUAACCCAGAACGGCCAAGUGAAACUGUUAUGCUAGAGUGCAGAAGGGGCAAUCGGAAUUCUUGGUGUAGCGGUGAAAUGCGUAGAUAUCAAGAGGAACACCUGAGGUGAAGACGGGUUGCUGGGCUGACACUGACGCUGAGGCGCGAAAGCCAGGGGAGCAAACG